RNAcentral lists this transfer-messenger RNA (405 nucleotides) under Candidatus Zambryskibacteria bacterium RIFCSPLOWO2_02_FULL_39_14. It matches the Rfam family "transfer-messenger RNA". From Rfam's summary of the family: Bacterial tmRNA, also known as 10Sa RNA or SsrA, is named for its dual tRNA and mRNA-like properties. Its role is to liberate the mRNA from a stalled ribosome. To accomplish this part of the tmRNA is used as a reading frame that ends in a translation stop signal. The record is from RNAcentral. RNAcentral also lists the same sequence under 1 other name. Lineage: Bacteria; Candidatus Zambryskiibacteriota.
GGGGGUGCCAGUUUCGACAUGAGAAAUGUGUCGUUCGUGGCAGACAGAGUUCCGAUAACUCUCUAAACUGUCGGAAAAUUUAAGUGCAGACGAAUAUGUCGCACGGGCAAAGUCAAUUGUUUCUCCGUAUUUUACGGCGAACGACUUUGUUUUCGCCUACGCUCGAGCGUAAGCUCGCUUAAGCGAACGUUGACUACCUUCGCCGUCCGAGACGGGGUAGUAAAUGCUUUAUCUCUCGGAUUGUAACCUAGUACUUGCUCAAUACUAGGCCAAACUUAGAGCUUAGAACUUAUUGUGUUUUGUCUGAUUUAUAGCAAUAAAUUCGAAAAUCAAAAUCAGUCUAUGUCUGCUAGAUUCGUUCGAUGUAUUCUCAUACACGCGGGCUCAUUCCCGCCACCUCCACUG